UACAGAGGGUGCGAGCGUUGUUCGGAAUUACUGGGCGUAAAGCGCGCGCAGGCGGCUCUUUAAGUCUGAUGGUCAAAUGCCGGGGCUCAACCCCGUGCCCGCCAGGGAUACUGGAGAGCUGGAGACACGUAGAGGCAAGCGGAAUUCCGGGUGUAGCGGUGGAAUGCGUAGAGAUCCGGAAGAACACCGGAGGCGAAGGCGGCUUGCUGGGCGUUGUCUGACGCUGAGGCGCGAAAGCGUGGGGAGCGAACAGG
Molecule: ribosomal RNA, 254 nt
Filed under: uncultured prokaryote
Description: partial 16S ribosomal RNA
Rfam family: Bacterial small subunit ribosomal RNA
Source: RNAcentral